UAAUACAGAGGUCCCGAGCGUUGUUCGGAUUCACUGGGCGUAAAGGGUGCGUAGGUGGCGAAGUAAGUCGGAUGUGAAAUCUCCGAGCUCAACUCGGAAACUGCAUUGGAAACUACUUUGCUCGAGGAUUGGAGGGGGGACUGGAAUACUUGGUGUAGCAGUGAAAUGCGUAGAUAUCAAGUGGAACACCAGUGGCGAAGGCGAGUCCCUGGACAAUUCCUGACACUGAGGCACGAAAGCUAGGGGAGCAAACAGG
RNAcentral lists this ribosomal RNA (256 nucleotides) under uncultured bacterium. RNAcentral's name for it is "partial 16S ribosomal RNA". It matches the Rfam family "Bacterial small subunit ribosomal RNA", at positions 521 to 776 of the family's 1533-position model. The record is from RNAcentral.